GUGUCCUCAAAUUCUGAUUUGCAGGAAACAUGCAUCAAAUUCUCACAGAAACCUUUGGAGAAUACUUUAGGAAGGAUUUUAAUUGCUGCAGACAGCAACAGAUAUGAAAACUAUCAGAAAGCUAAUGAUUCCUCAAUCUACCAUCUUAGAUCAGAAGUUGAAGAAGAAUCAGUGAAAAAGUUCUCCAGAACUGUGGUUGGUAUAAAAAUUGGGAAUGGUAUAUUUUCAUUGUAAUUCCUACUAUUCCCUUUGGCUUGCUUUCCACUAUUGAGGUUUAAAAAAAAACU
Molecule: long non-coding RNA, 287 nt
Filed under: Taeniopygia guttata (zebra finch)
Lineage: Eukaryota; Metazoa; Chordata; Aves; Passeriformes; Estrildidae
Description: lncRNA (ENSTGUG00000020802.1)
Source: RNAcentral